AUGGGGUGCAAGGGGUCGCGAGUUCGAAUCCCGC
RNAcentral lists this small RNA (34 nucleotides) under Bombyx mori (domestic silkworm). Its description in RNAcentral is "ovarian small RNA-12634". Lineage: Eukaryota; Metazoa; Arthropoda; Insecta; Lepidoptera; Bombycidae. The record is from RNAcentral.